Long non-coding RNA from Dreissena polymorpha, 449 nucleotides. RefSeq lists it as uncharacterized. The record is from RefSeq and is a predicted model, not a curated record. The transcript has 3 exons. Lineage: Eukaryota; Metazoa; Mollusca; Bivalvia; Myida; Dreissenidae.
UCGGCCCUCUGCUCUGGCGUUGCGAAGUGUUCCGUUUCCAAUAGCGAGGUUAUGUGUGUUUGCCCGAAUGGGUACAAUGGCACUAAUUGUACAGACAUCGACGAGUUUGUAAUAGGCAGAAAUACGUGUAGUCAAAACUGCAACAAUACUGAGGGCGGGUACAGAUGCCAAUGCAAAGAAGGAUAUGUCCUUCAAGACGACAAUGCAACUUGUACAGAAUGCAUCAACUGGACAUACGGUAAAAACUGUUUGAGCAAGUGUGAAUGUAAUGUAACCAAUACUAAAACAUGCAAUUCAACAAACGGAGAGUGCACGUGUUUGAAAGGAUGGCAAGGCAAACGAUGUUCUGAUGAUGUUGACGAAUGUACGUCAAUUCAAAAUGUGUGUCCCACUUUUUCAAACUGUAUAAACCUGUCGGGCGAUUUUAGGUGCGAAUGUAACCACGGAUA